ACGGAAGGCAGCAGUGGGGAAUAUUGCACAAUGGGGGAAACCCUGAUGCAGCAACGCCGCGUGAAGGAUGAAGGCCCUUGGGUCGUAAACUUCUGUUCUAGGGGAAGAUAGUGACGGUACCUUAGGAGCAAGUCCCGGCUAACUACGUGCCAGCAGCCGCGGUAAUACGUAGGGGGCAAGCGUUAUCCGGAAUUAUUGGGCGUAAAGAGUACGUAGGUGGUUACCUAAGCAAGGGGUUUAAGGCAAUGGCUUAACUAUUGUUCGCCCCUUGAACUGGGCUACUUGAGUGCAGGAGAGGAAAGCGGAAUUCCUAGUGUAGCGGUGAAAUGCGUAGAUAUUAGGAGGAACACCAGUGGCGAAGGCGGCUUUCUGGACUGUAACUGACACUGAGGUACGAAAGCGUGGGGAGCAAACAGGAUUAGAUACCCUGGUA
This 433-nucleotide ribosomal RNA is filed under the name uncultured bacterium. Its description in RNAcentral is "bacterial SSU rRNA". It matches the Rfam family "Bacterial small subunit ribosomal RNA", at positions 341 to 792 of the family's 1533-position model. The record is from RNAcentral.